UGACCCUUAUUAAGCCGAGGGUCACCUAGCCAACUGACGUUGUUAGUGAACCGAAUUUUGUUCACAAAUGUAUACGCCAAUCGCCUUAUUUCGCGGUUGGCUUUUUUUUG
RNAcentral lists this small RNA (110 nucleotides) under Vibrio xiamenensis. RNAcentral describes it as "Vibrio sp. G21 Qrr RNA". It matches the Rfam family "Qrr RNA". Rfam says of the family: This family represents a set of small RNAs (the Qrr RNAs) that are thought to be involved in the regulation of quorum sensing in Vibrio species. It is believed that these RNAs, guided by a protein, Hfq, can mediate the destabilisation of the quorum-sensing master regulators LuxR/HapR mRNAs. Lineage: Bacteria; Pseudomonadati; Pseudomonadota; Gammaproteobacteria; Vibrionales; Vibrionaceae. The record is from Rfam by way of RNAcentral.